UGAGUAAUGUCUGGGAAACUGCCCGAUGGGGGGGGAUAACUACUGGAAACGGUAGCUAAUACCGCAUAACGUCUUCGGACCAAAGUGGGGGACCUUCGGGCCUCACACCAUCGGAUGUGCCCAGAUGGGAUUAGCUAGUAGGUGGGGUAAUGGCUCACCUAGGCGACGAUCCCUAGCUGGUCUGAGAGGAUGACCAGCCACACUGGAACUGAGACACGGUCCAGACUCCUACGGGAGGCAGCAGUGGGGAAUAUUGCACAAUGGGCGCAAGCCUGAUGCAGCCAUGCCGCGUGUAUGAAGAAGGCCUUCGGGUUGUAAAGUACUUUCAGUGGGGAGGAAGGCGUUAAGGUUAAUAACCUUGACGAUUGACGUUACCCGCAGAAGAAGCACCGGCUAACUCCGUGCCAGCAGCCGCGGUAAUACGGAGGGUGCAAGCGUUAAUCGGAAUUACUGGGCGUAAAGCGCACGCAGGCGGUCUGUCAAGUCGGAUGUGAAAUCCCCGGG
This 504-nucleotide ribosomal RNA is filed under the name uncultured bacterium. RNAcentral's name for it is "bacterial SSU rRNA". It matches the Rfam family "Bacterial small subunit ribosomal RNA", at positions 107 to 607 of the family's 1533-position model. The record is from RNAcentral.